AAUAAUAAUAUAAAAUGAAAGAAAAAUAGAAAAGGAAGACAUGAUCCUAGUAUGAGUAAGAACAAUAGAGUGCAAUCCCAUGCACUUCUCAAGAGAAGUGGCAGAGGUGGGCAGCAGAAAAAUUUCCUUAGCACAUGCCAUCAUAAUAAGUUGCAAAAAAACAUUUUAAAUAUCACUCAUCCCAGUGACCCAUCUUAAACCAAAAGACUUAUACCGUUAACAACUGAACUUUUCAACUCAGAUAAGAACAUAAAUAAGGAAAAUUUCCAUAUUAAUAUGCAAUCGACUUAUUUGCAAAAAUAAAUACAAUAAAAGGCAUCAUAAUCAUGAAAAUAGCCACUCAAGUUCAAUAAGAAAAUACUUUUAUUGGCAACACAAAGGUAAGAUAACGAUAGUCUUUACAAGCGUCAUCAUAAUUGCGCAGCUUAGCUUGCCUCUUGUUAUACUUACCAAGACCAUAAUCAAUAUGCAGCUCCAUGGAUAAGACAAUCAGCAUAGGUGAAUUUUACUACAUUCACCUAGAUAACCAUUUGCCGAAAAACAAUUAGAUGCCACAACAAACAUACAAUCAAUGCACCAGACAUAAUUUUAACAACAAAUAAAAGGACAAAAUGCACAAAAUUCCAACCUGGCUUGACAGCAGUUUGCUGCGAAGAGAUGAACACCAAUGCCAUAUUUAGACUUAGUUGUGGAUGGUCCACAAUGUCCAAGU
Molecule: unclassified non-coding RNA, 712 nt
Filed under: Hevea brasiliensis (rubber tree)
Lineage: Eukaryota; Viridiplantae; Streptophyta; Magnoliopsida; Malpighiales; Euphorbiaceae
Source: RNAcentral